AUGCUCACUUCGGCAGCACACAUACUAAAACUGUAAUGAUACGGAGAAGAUUAUCGGGAGCCCUGUGCAAGGAUGACACGCAAAUUUGGGAAGCGUUCCAUGUUUUA
Small nuclear RNA from Mesoplodon densirostris (Blainville's beaked whale), 107 nucleotides. NCBI's taxonomy places the organism in Eukaryota, Metazoa, Chordata, Mammalia, Artiodactyla, Ziphiidae. The record is from RefSeq and is a predicted model, not a curated record.